RNAcentral lists this ribosomal RNA (463 nucleotides) under uncultured bacterium. RNAcentral's name for it is "partial 16S ribosomal RNA". It matches the Rfam family "Bacterial small subunit ribosomal RNA", at positions 28 to 507 of the family's 1533-position model. The record is from RNAcentral.
GACGAACGCUGGCGGCGUGCUUAACACAUGCAAGUCGAACGGAAAGGCCUUUUCGGAGGUACUCGAGUGGCGAACGGGUGAGUAACACGUGGGUGAUCUGCCCUGCACUCUGGGAUAAGCCUGGGAAACUGGGUCUAAUACCGGAUAGGACCGCACUUUAGAGUGUGUGGUGGAAAGUUUUUUCGGUGUAGGAUGAGCCCGCGGCCUAUCAGCUUGUUGGUGGGGUAAUGGCCUACCAAGGCGGCGACGGGUAGCCGGACUGAGAGGUUGGUCGGCCACAUUGGGACUGAGAGACGGCCCAGACUCCUACGGGAGGCAGCAGUGGGGAAUAUUGCACAAUGGGCGCAAGCCUGAUGCAGCGACGCCGCGUGGGGGAUGACGGCCUUCGGGUUGUAAACUCCUUUCGCCAGGGACGAAGCGUUUUGUGACGGUACCUGGAGAAGAAGCACCGGCUAACUACGUG